CCUACGGGAGGCUGCAGUCGAGAAUCAUUCACAAUGGGGGAAACCCUGAUGGUGCGACGCCGCGUGGGGGAAUGAAGGUCUUCGGAUUGUAAACUCCUGUUAUGCGGGAGCAAAUUAAAAAGAUAGUACCACAUGAGGAAUAGACGGCUAACUCUGUGCCAGCAGCUGCGGUAAUACAGCGGUCUCAAGCGUUGUUCGGAAUCACUGGGCGUAAGGCGUGCGUAGGCUGUUUCGUAAGUCGUGUGUGAAAGGCGCGGGCUCAACCCGCGGACGGCACAUGGUACUGGGAGACUAGAGGAAGAGGAGGGGAGCCGGAAUUCGCGGUGUAGCAGUGAAAUGCGUAGAUAUCGAGAAGAACACUCAUGGCGAAGGCAGGUUCCUGGACAUUAACUGACGCUGAGGCACGAAGGCCAGGGGAGCGAAAGGGAUUAGAUACCCGAGUAGUC
Molecule: ribosomal RNA, 446 nt
Filed under: uncultured bacterium
Lineage: Bacteria
Description: partial 16S ribosomal RNA
Rfam family: Bacterial small subunit ribosomal RNA
Source: RNAcentral